Molecule: non-coding RNA, 929 nt
Organism: Plutella xylostella (diamondback moth)
Lineage: Eukaryota; Metazoa; Arthropoda; Insecta; Lepidoptera; Plutellidae
Source: RefSeq, a predicted model, not a curated record
GUGUCUCGUACCCACACGCGAACAUCACGCUCCGAUUUAUUAAAUCAAAACCCGUGGAAAAAUGGCAUACAAAGCCCUCGAAAGUGUUGUGCAAGGAUUAGUAGGUACCGUAGCAUCACUUACGACUAAAGUUAGUGCAUUGGAAACAUUAAUUUGUGACCAAAAUGCCCUAAUAAAAACCCAGUCACUCGCAAUUAACCAACUUGUUUUGCAAAGUACCUCCAAAACAUCGAGCACCACGCAAUCAGCAGCGGCUACAGCGCCGCCGCAGCAAACAACGCGCCCAACACGCAAAAAAGCUACACCCACGAUUAGCGCUGCAGCCGCUGUCCGUGUUGGAAACCGAACAGCCAAUGCUAGCCCGGCGCUCACUUCACGUAAAACGACUUUGUCCGAAGACUGCCGACAAACACCGAUCGCCACUCCACCAACGACGCCCUCAACACCAAUAACGGCCAUUACUAAUAACCUCGACAACGUCCCAAAUGAAAAACCGAAUAAUAACGAAAAAUGGACUACGGUCAGCCGACGCAAACGGAAGCCAUCAAUUGCUGCCAUCCAGGGCUCGGCACAAAAUACGACCAUCAAAGGAGUUGAUGUUCACAAACAUCUCCACGGUUGCUUCUUCAAGAAAUCGACGAAACCAGAGGAUGUAAUUGAACACCUCCGUGGAAUCCACGCAGAAGGAUGGUGCUGAUAUCCUGUGCCUAACUGAACACUGGCUUGAAACCUACCAACUACGUCAAGUGAACAUACUUAACUUGAAGCUAUGCGCCCAGUACUGCCGACCGUCCAGGGAAGGAGGGGGAGCAUGCAUCUACUCCAGGCCUUCACUGCUUACAAUCGAGCGAAAGGAGGUCGCUGAACUCUCCGUUGAAAUGCAUUUUGAAGUCUGCGCGGCUGAAUGUGUCGGUUUGGACCUGAUAGUG